Molecule: ribosomal RNA, 1035 nt
Filed under: uncultured soil eukaryote
Lineage: Eukaryota
Description: SSU rRNA
Rfam family: Eukaryotic small subunit ribosomal RNA
Source: RNAcentral
CCUGCCAGUAGUCAUAUGCUUGUUUCAAGGAUUAAGCCAUGCAAGUGCCAGAGUAACUGUUUGUAUCAGAGGUCUGCGUACGGCUCAUUAAACGGUUUAUUAUCUACCCAGCGAAGGUGGUUUCAAAACCGCCCGAUGGAUAACUCCGCUAACUGUGGAGCUAAUACACGUAUGAAGAAGCUUGCCCUAUCAACCUCCCGCGGGGUUCUCUCCAAAGGAGGUGGGGUGGGCUGCUAUUGGCCGGUACAAAAACUAACGCCCGAUUAGGGCAGCAAUAACAGUUGAGGCAGGCCAAUCUUGCAAAAGCGCUCUUUUGGGCGCGUUGCUGGACGAAUUUACCACCUCAGGUAGAUGGUAGUGUAGUGGACUACCAUGCCAAUGACGGGUAACGGGGGAUUGGGGUUCGAUUCCGGAGAGGGUGCCUGAGAAAUGGCAACCAUCGCUAUGGCGAGCAGCAGGCGCGCAAAUUGCCCAAUGCCGACUCGGUGAGGCAGCGACGAAAAAUAACAACUUCACCGCCUUAUGGCAUGAAGAUUGUAAUGAUUUGUAAACACACGUACUAAGAGUAUCCAUUGGAGGACAAGUCUGGUGCCAGCACCCGCGGUAAUACCAGCUCCAAGAGCGUAUAUUAAUGUUGCUGCGGUUAAAAAGCUCGUAGUUGGACGUAAGAGCCAAGGCUGUGGUUGGGUCCGUCGGAUAAGGCACGCCCACAGAUGUUACUGUGAGUAAAACAGAAUGUUCAAAGUAAUCGGCUUGCCGAUUGAAUGUCAAAGCAUGGAAUAACAAGGGAUCGACCACUGUGGCCUCUUUUUGUUGGUUUUCAAGCCUCAGUGUGGUAACUCCGCGCAGGACUUCUCUUGGGCGUUCCUGGGUUCCUACUCAGGUCGUCCUUGUAGAGUCCUGUUGCAUUCGGGAUCAAUAGGAGCGCGGGGAGCAAUCAGUACUUCGGGGUGAGAGGUGAAAUUCAUAGACCCCCGAAAGACUAACAUCAGCGAAAGCCGUUUGCUAUCGCGCUUUCAUUAAUCAAGAACGAGA